GUGAGGAAUUUUCCGCAAUGGGCGAAAGCCUGACGGAGCAAUGCCGCGUGAAGGAUGAAGGCCUAUGGGUUGUAAACUUCUUUUCUCAGAAAAGAAUUAUGACGGUAUCUGAGGAAUAAGCAUCGGCUAACUCUGUGCCAGCAGCCGCGGUAAGACAGAGGAUGCAAGCGUUAUCCGGAAUGAUUGGGCGUAAAGCGUCUGUAGGUUGUUUAAAAAGUAUUCUGUCAAAGAUUAGGGCUUAACCCUAGAUAGGCAGAAUAAACUUUUAAGCUAGAGUUUGGUAGAGGCGGAGGGAAUUCCCGGUGGAGCGGUGAAAUGCGUAGAUAGCGGGAGGAACACCAAAGGCGAAGGCACUCUGCUGGGCCAAUACUAACACUGAGAGACGAAAGCGAGGGGAGCAAAUGGGAUUAGAAACCCCGGUAGUCC
Molecule: ribosomal RNA, 426 nt
Filed under: uncultured bacterium
Lineage: Bacteria
Description: partial 16S ribosomal RNA
Rfam family: Bacterial small subunit ribosomal RNA
Source: RNAcentral